GACGAACGCUGGCGGCGUGCUUAACACAUGCAAGUCGAACGGUGAUGCUGGAGCUUGCUCCAGUUGAUUAGUGGCGAACGGGUGAGUAACACGUGAGCAAUCUGCCCUUGACUCUGGGAUAACUGCGGGAAACUGUAGCUAAUACCGGAUACUUUCACCGGAAGGCAUCUUCUGGUGAUGAAAGAAUUUCGGUCAGGGAUGAGCUCGCGGCCGAUCAGGUUGUUGGUGAGGUAACGGCGCACCAAGGCGACGACGGGUAGCCGGCCUGAGAGGGUGACCGGCCACACUGGGACUGAGACACGGCCCAGACUCCUACGGGAGGCAGCAGUGGGGAAUAUUGCACAAUGGGCGCAAGCCUGAUGCAGCAACGCCGCGUGAGGGAUGAAGGCCUUCGGGUUGUAAACCUCCUUUAGCAGGGAAGAAGCGAAAGUGACGGUACCUGCAGAAAAAGCACCGGCUAACUACGUGCCAGCAGCCGCGGUAA
This 484-nucleotide ribosomal RNA is filed under the name uncultured bacterium. Its description in RNAcentral is "partial 16S ribosomal RNA". It matches the Rfam family "Bacterial small subunit ribosomal RNA", at positions 28 to 523 of the family's 1533-position model. The record is from RNAcentral.